This 400-nucleotide ribosomal RNA is filed under the name uncultured bacterium. RNAcentral describes it as "bacterial SSU rRNA". It matches the Rfam family "Bacterial small subunit ribosomal RNA", at positions 28 to 420 of the family's 1533-position model. The record is from RNAcentral.
GACGAACGCUGGCGGCGUGCUUAACACAUGCAAGUCGAACGGGGUCCAUGCAGUAGCAAUACUGCGGAAGGCCUAGUGGCGAACGGGUGAGUAACACGUGAGGAACCUGCCCUGGUCUCUGGGAUAACAGUUGGAAACAGCCGCUAAUACCGGAUGACGUCGGACCGUCGCAUGGCGGACUGACGAAAGGGUUACCGGAUCAGGAGGGCCUCGCGUCCUAUCAGCUUGUUGGUGGGGUAACGGCCUACCAAGGCAUCGACGGGUAGCUGGUCUGAGAGGAUGAUCAGCCACACUGGGACUGAGACACGGCCCAGACUCCUACGGGAGGCAGCAGUGGGGAAUCUUGCGCAAUGGGCGAAAGCCUGACGCAGCAACGCCGCGUGCGGGAAGAAGGCCUCGG